AGCGAACAUUGGCGGUAGGCUUAACACAUGCAAGUCGAGCGAGGCGUAAUAGUCGAGCGGCGAACGGGUGAGUAAUACUUGGGAAUCUGCCCUGAAGUGGGGGAUAACGUCCAGAAAUGGACGCUAAUACCGCAUAAUCCAUAUCGGGAAAGCGCGCUGCGCUUUAGGAUGAGCCCAAGUCUGAUUAGCUAGUUGGCGGGGUAAAGGCCCACCAAGGCGACGAUCAGUAGCUGGUCUGAGAGGAUGAUCAGCCACACUGGAACUGAGACACGGUCCAGACUCCUACGGGAGGCAGCAGUGGGGAAUCUUGCGCAAUGGGGGACAACCCUGACGCAGCCAUACCGCGUGUGUGAUGAAGGUCUUCGGAUUGUAAAGCACUUUCAGCGGGGACGACAAUGACGGUACCCGCAGAAGAAGUCACGGCUAACUUCGUGCCAGCAGCCGCGGUAAU
Molecule: ribosomal RNA, 451 nt
Filed under: uncultured bacterium
Lineage: Bacteria
Description: bacterial SSU rRNA
Rfam family: Bacterial small subunit ribosomal RNA
Source: RNAcentral